GAUGAACGCUGGCGGCGUGCUUAACACAUGCAAGUCGAACGGACGGAGGGAGCUUGCUCCCAAAGUUAGUGGCGGACGGGUGAGUAACGCGUGGGUAACCUUCCCUAUGCAGGGGGAUAACAUUCGGAAACGGAUGCUAAUACCGCAUAACCUAGUUGGUUCGCAUGAACCGACUAGCAAAGAUUUUAUCGGCAUAGGAUGGACCCGCGUUAGAUUAGCUAGUUGGUGAGAUAAAAGCUCACCAAGGCGACGAUCUAUAGCCGGCCUGAGAGGGUGAACGGCCACACUGGGACUGAGACACGGCCCAGACUCCUACGGGAGGCAGCAGUGGGGAAUAUUGCACAAUGGGCGCAAGCCUGAUGCAGCGACGCCGCGUGAAGGAUGAA
RNAcentral lists this ribosomal RNA (386 nucleotides) under uncultured bacterium. Its description in RNAcentral is "bacterial SSU rRNA". It matches the Rfam family "Bacterial small subunit ribosomal RNA", at positions 28 to 412 of the family's 1533-position model. The record is from RNAcentral.